AACAAGGAUUCCCUCAGUAACGGCGAGUGAAGAGGGAAGAGCUCAGUUUUGAAAUCUGGCAGUCAUUCACUGUCCGAGUUGUAAAUUGAAGAGAUUGUCAUCCACACUGGACCAUGUCUAAAUUGUAAUGAUCCACAGUCCUUUGAUGGAGUAUCAGAGAGGGUAAUAAUCCCGUCUUUAACGUGGACUCCCAGUGUUUAUGUGAUGCAUUCUCUCAGAGUCGAGUAGUUUGGGAAUGCUGCUCUAAUGGGAGGUAAACUCCUUCUAAAGCUAAAUAUUGGCGAGAGACCGAUAGCGAACAAGUACCGUGAGGGAAAGAUGAAAAGAACUCUGAAAAGAGAGUCAAACAGAACGUGAAAUUGCUGAAAGGGAAGCGUUUGGAGUCAGAUGCGUCUUCAUGGAAUAACGGCUUCUGCAAAGAAGGUCAGUGACUUGAAGAUGGGCCAGCACUCACGUAGACCAUUGGAAAAGGGGUCAUUGGAAUGUAGCUCACUUGUUGAGUGAUUAUAGCCUUGAUUCAUAUACAAUGUGUGUGUUAUGUGAGAUAGACAGCACGACUGACUCAGUCAGUGCUUGCUUGAUUGGCAUAAUGGCUCUAAGCGACCCGUCUUGAAACACGGACCAAGGAGUCUAACAUGUAUGCGAGUAUUAGAGUGAUUGAAACUCUGAAUGCGCAAUGAAAGUGGUCUUUGACUGAGAAUCCUCAGUUAGGGGAGGCAUCAGUACCCCGAGUCUGCUAGUCUUUGACUAAAGAUUUGGAGGUAGAGCAUAUAUGUUGGGACCCGAAAGAUGGUGAACUAUGCCUGAAUAGGGUGAAGUCAGAGGAAACUCUGAUGGAGGCCCGUAGCGAUUCUGACGUGCAAAUCGAUCGUAGAAUUUGGGUAUAGGGGCGAAAGACUAAUCGAACCAUCUAGUAGCUGGUUCCUGCCGA
This 931-nucleotide ribosomal RNA is filed under the name Craterellus tubaeformis. RNAcentral describes it as "partial large subunit ribosomal RNA". It matches the Rfam family "Eukaryotic large subunit ribosomal RNA", at positions 67 to 964 of the family's 3401-position model. Lineage: Eukaryota; Fungi; Basidiomycota; Agaricomycetes; Cantharellales; Hydnaceae. The record is from RNAcentral.